This is a long non-coding RNA of Globicephala melas (long-finned pilot whale), 7197 nucleotides long. RefSeq lists it as uncharacterized. The record is from RefSeq and is a predicted model, not a curated record. NCBI's taxonomy places the organism in Eukaryota, Metazoa, Chordata, Mammalia, Artiodactyla, Delphinidae.
GAUCCAGGAUGGCUGUUGACUAGCUGGCGGGGUUAGCACAGAUGGACUAGCUGGACCACGGACAGAAGGGGGGCACUUGCCAUGAAGGGACCACACUCCACAGGCCCAGGGGGUGGAGCCCGCGAUCUCCUGACUCCCACAGCUGCCCUCGGACCGCACCUCUCUCCCUCUGAGGCUCAGGCCACGAGCCAGAACACUGUUCCUCUUGCUGACCUCCGACAUUCGUUGCAGGCCUUGGAGCCCUGCUCACCAGCCCCCCCAGGGUCACAUUCCCUGCUGCUGUCCUGGCGAUUUCUGACAUCUACGUGCACAACUCACCCUUCAACUAUGUUUCUCAGGACAGCAUUGCUGUUUCAGGAAGGUGGCCAGGGUCUAAUCGUUCUGCAGUCCCAUUUCCACUAUGUAAACUGCUACAAAUUUUAGGAGACGUGUGUGCUGAGAAAUCUUAAAAUAAAGUCAAAGCACUGUGCUGGUGCAGGAAUCUUAGUACAGAUCCAGACUUUCUACUGCACUCCUACUGAAAGCGAGGUGUUACGAAGCACAUUAUCCCACCGGAUCCUAAAGGGGCUCUGAGGUGCUAUAGUUGAAAACACCUGGAAGAGAGUUGUUCCAGACAACUGAAAAGGAAAGAAACUGUUCUGAAGAGUUGUUGCCUUGCAACACAGACCUGGCUGCCGUGCUCCAAUCUGGAUUACUCUGCAAGGCCACCCGGCCCCAGAGCUUCCCUGGAGGACCAGCGGAGGCCGCUAUUGAAGCUGCAUCCCAGCCCAGCUUCUCCCUCAGCCUGCCCUCGCUGCCCUUGCUUUCUUCCAGGGGCUGUUCCUCUACCACUCCCCAAUAAACCUCCUGCAGGCCGAUCCCCUUCUCAGAGUCUGUUUCCCAGGGAACCCCCCUAGGACUUACACCAUCCUUCUCGAGGGAAGUGACUCUAUCAACAGACUGAGACUUUCGUCUGCCAUAGUUGCCCAAGGACAUGGAGGUCUGUGGGCCUUUUGUAGGAUGAUUAGCUACAUCUCUGCAGCAAACGAGGAAAAUAUGUCAUCACUGCAAAUUCCCUCUUAGAAGUCCCUCCAGUCUCAGGAAUCGUCCUUGCUUCUCCAAUUUCUAUAAGACAUUGAGAAACUUGCACUCAGUAUGCGACUGUGGUAAGACUGGAUGUCAUCGGACGUCACAAUGGGCCCCCCGUUUUGCCACUGCUGCCUCACAUGUGAGGUGAUACAUCAGCUGGCUGAAAACCUGACCAGAGGCAGAACUUGGGAGAUUUCAGGAAGAUGCACCCAGCACAAGCCAGGCAGAACAACAGCAAUUAUGGCCACAUCCAGAGGACUUCUAAAGAGCAGCGCACAGGAGAGAGAGGUUCUGACGCUUGCUGUGAAGUUAGAGGACAGAGAAAGAGUAAACCAGCCACUCAGGGCCUACGGUUGCUAGUCUACUCCAGCUGGAGACCUAGUGACGGGGCUACUGCUAGCUGAAUAGGAAAAUGCAAGGAGGCAUGUUCUAAAGAGACGGCAGGAAGCCUUUAGGUAAUGAUACCAAAAAGGAAAGACCAGGCACAGUGCUGGUGCUCUUAUAUGUCUUGAGAUAUAAUUUUCACAACCCAGUGAGGCAGGCAUAAUUAUCUCUAUGAAAUUAAAACUAAGAAAAAUUAGGUAACUUACCCAAGUCACAGUAGUUAAGCUGGAGUUCGAACCCUAAUCUCUGAGGCUCGCAAACCCCUGCCCUUGGCCUGGGCCACCUUCAUCACAGCCCUCAACCACCAGAAACCAGAGAAGCCAGAGCACAGGGUAAGCAAACCCAGCGAAAUCUGAAGGAACGCGCAUCACCUUCCACAAUUCCUGCAACCUCAGAGCAGGCUGCAGACAUUCUGUCCCUCUGGUUCCACAAUCCAAUGAGACAUCUUUAGAGGGGAAGGGAGAAAAUCAGUGAGCACUCAGAGGAGGCAGCACUGGGCAUUCCACUGCCACAAGGAAAUCUGGGCUGCGGGUUCCAUGAGAUGAUACCCACUGCCCUCUGCUGGCAACCAGGAAGAACAAGAGGAAAGAGGACCAAAGAUCCAUUUCAGGUUGACGUGUCAAGAGAUGAUGAGGGUGGAUAGAACUUCCCUGGUGGCACAGUGGUUAAGAAUCUGCCUACCAAUGCAGGGGACAUGGGUUUGAGCCCUGGUCCAGGAAGAUUCCAUGUGCCGUGGAGCAAGGAAGCCCGUGCACCACAACUACUGAGCCCGCACGCCACAACUACUGAAGCCCGCAUGCCUAGAGCCCGUGCUCCGCAACAGGAGAAGCCACUGCAUUGAGAAGCCCGCGCACUGCAACGAAGAGUAGCCCCUGCUCGCCACAAUUAGAGAAAGCCCAUGCACAGCAACAAAGGCUCAAUGCAGCCAAAAAAAAAAAAAAAAAAUAGAGAUGAUGAGGGUGGAUUUUUAAAAACCUUUUAUUAGAGAUGAAUUCAAGCUUAUAAAAGAAUGGCAUAUUAUGUUCCCAUGUAUGUUCACCAGCUUCAACAAUGUAUCAACUCAUAGCCAAUCUCGAGUCAUCCCCACCCUUACCCACUUCCCUCCAACAUGUUUUCUUUUGAAGCAAUUCUCAGACAUUCUGUCAUUUCAUCUGUAAAUAUGUUAGUAUGUAUUUCCACAAGAAAAUGAUUUUUUAACCCCGUAACACCACCAUUAUCACAACUAAAAAAAAAAAAAAAUCAAUAAAUCUAGUAGUUGCUUAUAGCACAGGAAGCCAAAAAUAAAAAAACCCGAAGCAUCCAGCCUCACCCAAGGAUUAUGGUAAGGGAGGUGCAAUCAUGCAAAACACAGAUUAAUAGCCUGAGCCACCCAAGCAAACAAAAGUACCUCAUCUUCAGCCUUGCCAGGAUAACUCAGCAAGAAGACAGAUUAAAUAAAUAUCUUAACUGGAAAUGCAAAGCUAUGCACCCCUGAGUGGUAGGACAAUCUUCAGCUGAGUAGGUUUGGCACACGUGCUACUAAACCUUUGUGGACGGGCUGAAUCUUUCCAAAGAUUCAGGACGGCAACAUUUGGCUGUGUCCCCAGGCAACCGAAGCGAGGCCUUAAGAGGUGUGAUCGUGCAGCUCCCUGGCAAUCUCAAGCCAGGGACCAGAAUCAGGCUGAAAGACCACUCCUUCUUCAGGUUCCCUCUGUGCCAUUUAUCCCUAGUAAUGCAAACUUCUAUUUAUGUGUCCAUCUCCCCUUCUAGAUGAUGAAGCCUCUGAAGGCAGGAUGGUACAGGGUUCACCCUGUAUCCUGCGUGGCGAGCACAUAAGUGAUGCUCAGUAGACAGCUGCAUAAAGAGAGACUGAACUGGAAAAGUCUGUCAUCAGACAGUACCAAGUGUUGGAAAGAAUGGGGAGAAACAAGAACUUUCGUUUACCCCUAGUGGGAUGAUAAAAUGAUAAACCACUUUGGCAAUUUGGCAAUAUCCAAAGAUAUGUUCCAAUGUUUAAGCCCAUAACACAAGAACAGGAUGUUUUAAAUUUAAAAAAGAAGGAAUAUUCAGAGAACAAAAAAAGAGAAGAGCUCCUAGAAAUUAAAAUAACAAAAAUAAAACAACUCAAUGGAAACUCAAGUGGAGAAAGCAAAGCAAAAGGACAAAGAGAUCGGGCUUCCCUGGUGGCGCAGUGGUUGAGAGUCUGCCUGCCGAUGCAGGGGACAUGGGUUCGUGCUCCAGUCCGGGAAGAUCCCACAUGCCAUGGAGUGGCUGGACCCGUGAGCCAUGGCCGCUGAGCCUGCGUGUCUGGAGCCUGUGCUCCGCAACGGGAGAGGCCACAACAGCGAGAGGCCCGCGUACCGCAAAAAAAAAAAAAAAAAAAGGACAAAGAGGACACGAAAGAAAGAAAACCAAAGGACCAGUCUAGGAGGUCCAAUGUUUGAAUAAAAGGCGUUCCAGAAAGAGAAGAGAGAAAACAGAUGGGAAGAGCGAAUACAAUAAAUUUUUCCUAUAUUCUUAUACUCUGAGUUUCCAAACUGAAGGGUAAUGAGUAUUCAGUGUAACAGAUAAAAAACAGACUCACAUCGAAACACACCACUGAGAAACUUCAGAGCCCUGGGGUUAAAAGAAGACCUAAAAGGCUUCCACAAAGAACAUACACAAAGGAUUAAGAAUCAGAACUUCCUAGAAGUGAGAAGAUAAUCGAAGCAAUGGUAUCAAAAUUCUAAAGGACAACUAUUUCUAAUCAUCUCCAGCCUGAGCCUCAGUCAGGCGUGAGGGUGGACUAAAGAUACGCUUGGCCACACGUGGGCUCCAAAUCUGCCUCCUCUGCCCCCUUUCCCACGAAGUUCCUGGAUGGUGCGCUUCACCAAAAUGAUGAGGCUGUGCGCCACAAAAGUCAAAGACACCAGAUACAGGAAACAGGGUUCCUCACAUGAGACAGGUGACGACAGCCUCUGUGGGAAAAGAAAGCUGUGACGGCAAGGAGAAGUGUAUCACAUGGCUCAGCUAUGAAUCACAGUAACACAGUCAGACAAUGGAAACUCAAGGUUGGCUUCACUAAAGCUACGGCACAACCAUAUCUGGAACACAGAGGGAUGGGUGCGGGGGUGUGUGUGUGCGCGUUGGUGGGGGCAGUUGAAUUCUAAUCUGCUAGAGUGAGAAGUCCACAGAUGAUGCCUAAAAUUAAAAGGAGAGAAGCAGCAAUAUAAGCUCAUUAUCCAGAGAAACAGCAGUGAAAACAAAAAUAACCCACCAGGAGAGUCAGCAGUGGUUGUCUCUGGAGAGGAACACUGGCCGGCGGGGAGGGCAAGGUACUGCUGUUUUUGCAACAAUAUCAUGUGUAACUCCCACAGAUAUGAAAACGCAAGGGGAAACCUGCACAUAAGGAGUAACUGGGAAAACGCAGAGGGGCAGCAAAUCCUCCCAGCAGCACCUCAGACUCCGGAUUACAGCGCCAUCUGCCUGUCUAUAUGUUACUGCCGUGUCCUAGGUUAUGACCAUCAAAAUUCAGCAUUUCGCAAGUACUUGCAGGAUACAGAUAAAGCUUUACAUUUUAACCAGGAGCACUGAGGCUGCUCAAUCCAGCAGGUACGUUAAGUGUGGAUUUUUAACAAUUCUUACCAGCAGUGAAAAUGCCUUUGGUGCUCUGUCUCAUACUGGAAGGUCUCACGAUUGCUGAGAGCCCUGUGAGAAAAAAACAAUAACAAUGCCAAAAAAGCCAGAUGUGAGUCAUCCUAACACUUUUAAAACUUGAAACUAAAUAUUCUUUCCAGCUAUCCAAUAAAACCAGCAAAUCUAUCUCUGGUGUCAGAGUGACAGUGAAAAGAGUAUCAGGAUCGAGGUCCAGGAGACUGGAGCUGCCAGCUGUGUCAACGACCAGCUGUGUCACUGACCAGCUGUGUGAACACAAGCAAAUGACCUCCCCACUCUGGGUCUGGGACGCCUCAUCUUACAACCAGUGGGUUAGGUGACCCUUGAAGGUCAUUUUUUUCACUUUAAAUCUGCUUAAGUCUGCUGGCUCUCAAUUCCAAGAUGUGGAAAGAUUGGGGAAAAAAACACCAAACGUUUCUGCCUAGGAGGAAAACUUAUUCUGAAAUCACUCAGAGGACUCCUCGGUGAGGACAGCAGGACAGUCCUUCAGGCCCACAGAAAGGCAGAAGGACUCACACCAUGACCAGAAAAGACACGCCUCCACAUGUAUCUUCAGAAGAGGUAGCCGGCACCCUAGGCACAUGCUCCGCUCUGCCCGACGGGCAGGUGUCUCCAUGUGACACCGUCACUGUGACUUGCAUCCUGCCAGGUGGCCAGGCUGCUCCCUGGGGAAGCUCAGCAAAUACGUACUCAACAGUAAACGGUGCACUCAUCUGAGGGAGGGCAUCAUUUUCUUUUCUUUUUUUCAUCAUUUUCAAUUUCAUGAUUUCCUUACUUGCUGACUGACCUUGUAAAUUACCUGUAACACCUCAAAAGGCAGCAAGUCUCUGAAGAUCAGGCUCAGAUUUUUGGUCCACAUUGGGGAUGACGUGAGGAACAGGGGCCAUGUUGGAGCAGACCUACUGUGCACACAGGAGCCACACCGAGGGGGCGUCGGCCAAGGAGAGUGGUGUUCUUGAUGUUAUAAAAGCAUUAAAAAUGUCACCAGUCUCGGGCUUCCCUGGUGGCGCAGUGGUUGAGGGUCCGCCUGCCGAUGCAGGGGACGCGGGUUCGUGCCCCGGUCCGGGAAGAUCCCACAUGCCGCAGAGCGGCUAGGCCCAUGAGCCAUGGCCGCUGAGCCUGCGCAUCCGGAGUCUGUGCUCCGCAACGGGAGAGGCCACAACAGUGAGAGGCCCGCGUACCACAAUAAAAAAAAAAUCACCAGUCUCCAUCCUCCUCAGACCACCGUGAGGAACAAACACAUGUCUUUGAAAUAACUUCUAAACAUUAUGCCCUUGGGACCAAAAGAAUCAUUGUUUCCCUCUCUGUCAGUGAUUUAGGACCCAGGGAUCUGAAAAUAGAAGUACUUUCAGCACCCUACUUCAAACAAACAAGAAUUUAGGUUGGGAAAACCCCCAGACUGUUAGUGCUUUCUUAUUCUGAGAGGAAAUCUCUCUCUCCAUCUCACUAGGCAAGAAAGAAUAGAGAACCCGUCUCAGCCACAAAGUUUGCUCCCCCCGACCCCCUCCAGCCAACACUUCCUCCCCGUCAGAUUCAUGCACGUACCUAGACGCACCACGUCUCCACAGUCGGGGUCAUGAGCCACUUGCAAUAAAGUUUCUUCCACAUCUCUGUUUUUUCCAGGAGGGUCCAUAAUAUGAUUUAUUUGUUGCUGUAAGGUUUUGGGCAAUGUCAUUAGUUGAGUGAACUGUCCUUCUGGGCUUUUAUCGAUCUAAGGAAAAAAAAAAGAUAACGUCUAUGGAAAGUGCUUUGAAUUCUAUAAAUAUUCAAAGCACAUGGCUUCUCCUUAAAACCACAUGAACAUAUAUGAACUCACACCUAGUAGACUAGGCAGGUGCUAAGGAGACUUUCUCCUUUCUGAAACUGAAUGCCUAGGUGUUAAGGAUUCUAAGUUCCUUCGAACAAGUUAAUUCUUUUCCUAUGAUAUUCUACUUGUACUUAAGAAUAGAAAUUUCUUUCAAGAAUCAAUUUUUGACUCUCAGUUUUAAAAUUUCUAUUUGUUCUAAAUCCGGUAGUUAAAGAAAGUAAAAUUUCAGCUAAAAUUCAUCGACACACCGGCUCACCCAAGUACUCAUUUUCUUUUAUUUAUUUAUUUAAAUUUUAUUUAUUUAU